RNAcentral lists this ribosomal RNA (492 nucleotides) under uncultured bacterium. Its description in RNAcentral is "partial 16S ribosomal RNA". It matches the Rfam family "Bacterial small subunit ribosomal RNA", at positions 29 to 507 of the family's 1533-position model. The record is from RNAcentral.
AGUGAACGCUGGCGGUAGGCCUAACACAUGCAAGUCGAACGGCAGCACAGUAAGAGCUUGCUCUUACGGGUGGCGAAUGGCGGACGGGUGAGGCAUACAUCGGAAUCUACUUUUUCGUGGGGGAUAACGUAGGGAAACUUACGCUAAUACCGCAUACGACCUACGGGUGAAAGCAGGGGAUCUUCGGACCUUGCGCGAUUGAAUGAGCCGAUGUCGGAUUAGCUAGUUGGCGGGGUAAAGGCCCACCAAGGCGACGAUCCGUAGCUGGUCUGAGAGGAUGAUCAGCCACACUGGGACUGAGACACGGUCCAGACUCCUACGGGGGGCAGCAGUGGGGAAUAUUGGACAAUGGGGGCGAGCCUGAUCCAGCCAUACCGCGUGAGUGAAGAAGGCCUUCGGGUUGUAAAGCCCUUUUGUUGGGAAAGAAAAGCAGCAGGUUAAUACCCCGCUGUUCUGACGGUACCCAAAGAAUAAGCAACGGCUAACUUCGUG